GGAGCUAAAAGAAGGGAAAGGAAGUUG
This 27-nucleotide non-coding RNA is filed under the name Cricetulus griseus (Chinese hamster). The record is from RNAcentral. Lineage: Eukaryota; Metazoa; Chordata; Mammalia; Rodentia; Cricetidae.